Molecule: long non-coding RNA, 822 nt
Organism: Suricata suricatta (meerkat)
Lineage: Eukaryota; Metazoa; Chordata; Mammalia; Carnivora; Herpestidae
Exons: 3
Source: RefSeq, a predicted model, not a curated record
CCAGGAGACCAUGUCCUCGCCUCUCCUGGUCCUCGCUCACCCCUCCAGCCUGUGACAUAAGAGCCAGAAUUUUGCCCGGCGCCCGGGGACAGGCCGGCCAACCCUCCUGCAGAGAGCUGAUGCGCCCCGGAGCCAGGAGCCAGCGGCAGAGGGGAAAACAAAGCACAAAGAGGGACCUGAAGUAUGUCCUUCUUGGAAGCCGGAGUCGGGAUUAGAGUGGUGGCCGGAGCCACGGAGUCCAACAAGAGGAACAUUAUGUGGCCUGUGGCAUCAGGGGCAGCCCUGUCCGCGGGCUGGGCCAGCACCUUGAGCCCUGCCCCAAGGACCCCCACCUCUGCACCAGCCACACCUCUGAGGGACGCGUGCCAGUGCAGCCACCCACCGGCGGGCCCCACGGCCCGGUCUGUCCGAGCAGGAGGUCGAGGGUGGUGGUCAGGGAGAUAUUUCUGGAAGGCUCGCUCCAUCAGAGAGGUGGUGAGAAACUUGGACUCCCCUCCAGCAAAGGGUCUUGUGGUCCCUCCACAAACAGUCCAGACAUGCACUUACUUCAUCAAAGGGAAAGGUUCUGGGUUCAGGCCCUGGGGCUCAAUGAGUUUAUCUGCAAGAUAAAUUGCCCAGACAAGAAAUUUUCAAAGCCCACCUUCCAUGCAGCUCAGAACACUUGUAUCUGGGUGAAGGAGCCCCCAAGUCCCUGCCCCCGAUCUAGCCAUCCAUUCCCCCCCCACCAGAGCCACCCCAAGCCUCCUUGCAUGUUGUGAGAAGGUAGUUGCGGACAAUGAGGAAAUGGAUGGGUGUGGGUGUGUUCCAAUAAAACUUUAUGUA